This 1831-nucleotide long non-coding RNA is filed under the name Homo sapiens (human). RNAcentral's name for it is "HSALNT0368219". The record is from RNAcentral. Lineage: Eukaryota; Metazoa; Chordata; Mammalia; Primates; Hominidae.
GGAGGGGGGGCCUGGAAUGUCUGCGCGCGUGACGCACGCGGGGUUCCAUUGACGCAGGGAGCGCGGAUUGUUUGAUCUAUAAAUAGGCUCCUCGCGCCCGCCGCGCCCGCUAAAAAUAGCAGCUCCCAGGCCCACUAGGCUCCCCGCACCGGACUCGGGUCCCAGCUGGGGGCCCCCAGGUCCAGAAUAACCAGCGGGAGGGCCAGAGCCCGAGAAGGGGCGCUGUAGAGACGCGGCCGCGGGGCUUCCCCGGAUGAGGAUCUCCUCACUCUCCAGUUGCUCCCGGGAGCCAACCGCGCCCGGUCCCUCCGGCUCCCUCCGAGCCUAGCCCCGCCUUUACACCUUCCCAAGCCCUUCCUGGAGCCCUAGGGUGUCGCUGCUGCCGCUGCUGGGCGGUCAGGACAGGCCGCGGGCUGAGGCGGGCAAUUCGGACACACCCUGGGGAGCCUGCGCCCUCACCUCAGCCCUAGGCGCAGCUAGUGCACAGGACGCGGCUUCCCCAGCAGGGUCUCAGGCUGAGAGGCUGCCCCUGAGACGUCAGUUAGAGCCCUCGCUUAGUCCCUCCAGGCAGUCUCCCUACACAGGACCUUCCCGAGGGCAGGCGUUGGCCAGGCCCAAGCUCGGCCAACAGCUCUGGCUCCGCUCCACAAGCUGAACUUGGUUUCGCACCGUCCCCUCCCCAGCCCCUUACAGGGGGAGUGCACCCUAGUUGGGAAAUUACCGAAUUUCAGAACCGGGUGGAGCCUGAGAAAUCUUUUCAAACUUGUGCCAACUCUUCCUCAUUUUAUAAACAAACAGGCUCAGAGAAAUAAUGGCACUUGCUGAAGGUCACACAGCCAGGUGGUGGCACACUGGGUUGGAACCCAGGGCCACAGACUGCAUCUCUAGGGAUCUCUCCACGCCUCUUAUCAAUACCCCUCCCCCUGUCCACAUCAGGGAGCACCGGCCCUCCCAGCCUACCUCCAGCACCUGUGGGGAGGCAGCUCUGACCAGUUAUCACCUGCCCGGUGGAGUGAGGAACAGCCCGCCAGGGCCCUGCUGGGCACAGACCAGGCUUCAGCCACCUGGAGCCUUCCCUGGUUUGGCCGUCACCCUUCCACCCUGAUCUCUCCUGAGCCUGGGGAGCCCUCACGGAAAAGUAAGAGAAGAGGGAAGGGCAAAAAAACAAAAACAAGGAAAAGAGAGCCCUGCCACCCCACUGCGACCCCCAUCCAUUCCCCUUCUCCCAUGUUCCACAGGGCCAACAGUGGGACUUGAGUAUUCGCAGUACAAGUUGGGGUCCUGGAGCCAACCCCCUUCAUAAACCAAGGGGUGACUGUAAUGCUGAUGGCAUUCAGUCAUCUGGUCAGAACCUGCCAGAACCCUCCAUCCCAGCAUACAGUCUCAACGUGAAUGCAUCUGCAGAGAGCUCUGGGUUGCUCCAAACCAUCUUCCUUCAAGGCCACUGGUUGAAUGUGAAGUGUGGGCAGGAUGAUGCCAAUUGGACCCAUCCAGGAUCCCUACCUCAUUUCAGGCAAAGUUUUGCUUUUCUUUCUCUUAGGCUUUUCCGUAAGAUUUUGCUUAGAUUUUGUGGAAUCCUUUUGUGGAAAAUGACUCCACAGCUUAAAAAAAAAAAAGGUUUAAAACCACAUAUAGAAUUCAAGUCCUCCCAUUUUGCAGAUUAGGAGUCAAGGGUUCCAAGAGGAGCUACACUUUGCUCAGGAGCACACAGCAAGUCUUGCUGGGUGGAACUGAUCCCAGCUGUGUCACAGGCUGACUUCCUCACCUAGCACCCACUUUGCCCCAGGAUGUCUCCCUCCACCCCAGCAGGGCCUUCCCUAGAAAAUAAAAC